RNAcentral lists this long non-coding RNA (653 nucleotides) under Carica papaya (papaya). Its description in RNAcentral is "long non-coding RNA (CPAP_LNC004346)". The record is from RNAcentral. Lineage: Eukaryota; Viridiplantae; Streptophyta; Magnoliopsida; Brassicales; Caricaceae.
AAUUCUUUUGCUUCUACUUGCCGUCUUCCUGCAGAACGGGCUCGGGAACCAAAUCCUCCUAAUCUGAAAUGGUUAAGUAAGGAAUGAGCUACACUAGCCCAGUAAAGACAUCACACUAUCUCCUUGUCACAGAAGUAAAGGUUGGUAGAAAACGAAAACGACCAAUGGAGCAUAAUUUAUAACAAACUCAUUUAUCAAUAAUAAAACUCUUUACUAUCCACCUACCUCGGUGAGAUUCAUGAAAACAAUUACAUCAUAAAUAUCAUAAGAUCACGCACACUCUGCAACAUAACACAUAUCAUGCUUUUGUAUUUCAAUCAUCAGGCAACAAUUUUCCUCUUUUAUCAGCAUACUAGUAUCCAUGGGGAUCCAUAAGGGGUCCCCGCUACACGUGAACCAUUCACAUUAAUAACUUAAUUCCAGGGCCGUCCCCAUACUCCGUCCAGUAUGGGCACCAAAACCAUAAACCUCAAUACCUCGUCCGGUAUGAGGGUGAAACGGGCCGUCCCCAUACCCUGUCCGGUAUGGGUGCCAAAACACAUAAAGUCUCCAUACCCCGUCUGAUAUGAGAGACCACGUUCCCGAUAAGGUUCCCUAUGGAUCCGGUCCAUCCACCAUCUCUAAGGAUAUCUAGUUAGGCUGUCGACAUUAUU